This 253-nucleotide ribosomal RNA is filed under the name uncultured bacterium. RNAcentral describes it as "partial 16S ribosomal RNA". It matches the Rfam family "Bacterial small subunit ribosomal RNA", at positions 524 to 776 of the family's 1533-position model. The record is from RNAcentral.
UACGGGGGGGGCAAGCGUUGUUCGGAAUCACUGGGCGUAAAGCGCACGUAGGCGGAUUGUUAAGUCAGGGGUGAAAUCCUGGAGCUCAACUCCAGAACUGCCUUUGAUACUGGCGAUCUUGAGUCCGGGAGAGGUGAGUGGAACUCCGAGUGUAGAGGUGAAAUUCGUAGAUAUUCGGAAGAACACCAGUGGCGAAGGCGGCUCACUGGCCCGGUACUGACGCUGAGGUGCGAAAGCGUGGGGAGCAAACAGG